AAAGCAUCUAAGCGGGAAGCGAGCCUUGAGAUGAGUUCUCCCUGAUACUUUAAGUAUCCUAAAGGGUUGUCGUAGACUACGACGUUGAUAGGCAGGGUGUGUAAGCGUUGUGAGGCGUUGAGCUAACCUGUACUAAUUGCCCGUGAGGCUUAACCAUACAACACCCAAGGGGUUU
Molecule: ribosomal RNA, 175 nt
Filed under: Vibrio parahaemolyticus
Lineage: Bacteria; Pseudomonadati; Pseudomonadota; Gammaproteobacteria; Vibrionales; Vibrionaceae
Description: partial 23S ribosomal RNA
Rfam family: Bacterial large subunit ribosomal RNA (bases 1-157)
Source: RNAcentral